UCGUAGGCGGUUUGUCGCGUCUGCUGUGAAAUCCCGAGGCUCAACCUCGGGUCUGCAGUGGGUACGGGCAGACUAGAGUGCGGUAGGGGAGAUUGGAAUUCCUGGUGUAGCGGUGGAAUGCGCAGAUAUCAGGAGGAACACCGAUGGCGAAGGCAGAUCUCUGGGCCGUAACUGACGCUGAGGAGCGAAAGCAUGGGGRGSGAACAGGAUUAGAUACCCUGGUAGUCCAUGCCGUAAACGUUGGGAACUAGAUGUGGGGACCAUUCCACGGUCUCCGUGUCGCAGCUAACGCAUUAAGUUCCCCGCCUGGGGAGUACGGCCGCAAGGCUAAAACUCAAAGGAAUUGACGGGGGCCCGCACAAGCGGCGGAGCAUGCGGAUUAAUUCGAUGCAACGCGAAGAACCUUACCAAGGCUUGACAUAUACCGGAAACAUGCAGAGAUGUGUGCCCCGCAAGGUCGGUAUACAGGUGGUGCAUGGUUGUCGUCAGCUCGUGUCGUGAGAUGUUGGGUUAAGUCCCGCAACGAGCGCAACCCUCGUUCUAUGUUGCCAGCACGUAAUGGUGGGAACUCAUAGGAGACUGCCGGGGUCAACUCGGAGGAAGGUGGGGAUGACGUCAAAUCAUCAUGCCCCUUAUGUCUUGGGCUUCACGCAUGCUACAAUGGCCGGUACAAAGGGCUGCGAUACCGUA
This 690-nucleotide ribosomal RNA is filed under the name Clavibacter sp. SP033. RNAcentral's name for it is "bacterial SSU rRNA". It matches the Rfam family "Bacterial small subunit ribosomal RNA", at positions 569 to 1259 of the family's 1533-position model. Lineage: Bacteria; Bacillati; Actinomycetota; Actinomycetes; Micrococcales; Microbacteriaceae. The record is from RNAcentral.